GUAGUCAUAUGCUUGUCUCAAAGAUUAAGCCAUGCAUGUCUAAGUAUAAGCAAUCUAUACCGUGAAACUGCGAAUGGCUCAUUAAAUCAGUUAUCGUUUAUUUGAUAGUACCUUACUACUUGGAUAACCGUGGUAAUUCUAGAGCUAAUACAUGCUAAAAACCUCGACUUCGGAAGGGGUGUAUUUAUUAGAUAAAAAACCAAUGCCCUUCGGGGCUCCUUGGUGAUUCAUAAUAACUUAACGAAUCGCAUGGCCUUGUGCCGGCGAUGGUUCAUUCAAAUUUCUGCCCUAUCAACUUUCGAUGGUAUGGUCUUGGCUUACCAUGGUUUCAACGGGUAACGGGGAAUUAGGGUUCUAUUCCGGAGAGGGAGCCUGAGAAACGGCUACCACAUCCAAGGAAGGCAGCAGGCGCGCAAAUUACCCAAUCCCGACACGGGGAGGUAGUGACAAUAAAUACUGAUACAGGGCUCUUUUGGGUCUUGUAAUUGGAAUGAGUACAAUUUAAAUCCCUUAACGAGGAACAAUUGGAGGGCAAGUCUGGUGCCAGCAGCCGCGGUAAUUCCAGCUCCAAUAGCGUAUAUUAAAGUUGUUGCAGUUAAAAAGCUCGUAGUUGAACCUUGGGCCUGGUUGGCCGGUCCGCCUCACCGCGUGCACUGGUCCGACCGGGUCUUUCCUUCUGAGGAGCCGCAUGCCCUUCACUGGGUGUGUCGGGGAAUCAGGACUUUUACUUUGAAAAAAUUAGAGUGUUCAAAGCAGGCCUAUGCUCGAAUACAUUAGCAUGGAAUAAUAGAAUAGGACGUGUGGUUCUAUUUUGUUGGUUUCUAGGACCGCCGUAAUGAUUAAUAGGGACAGUCGGGGAUAUCAGUAUUCAAUUGUCAGAGGUGAAAUUCUUGGAUUUAUUGAAGACUAACUACUGCGAAAGCAUUUAUCAAGGAUGUUUUCAUUAAUCAGUGAACGAAAGUUAGGGGAUCGAAGACGAUUAGAUACCGUCGUAGUCUUAACCAUAAACUAUGCCGACUAGGGAUCGGGCGAUGUUAUCUUUUUGACUCGCUCGGCACCUUACGAGAAAUCAAAGU
Molecule: ribosomal RNA, 1076 nt
Filed under: Phialocephala sphaeroides
Lineage: Eukaryota; Fungi; Ascomycota; Leotiomycetes; Helotiales; Mollisiaceae
Description: SSU rRNA
Rfam family: Eukaryotic small subunit ribosomal RNA
Source: RNAcentral